This 293-nucleotide ribosomal RNA is filed under the name uncultured bacterium. RNAcentral's name for it is "partial 16S ribosomal RNA". It matches the Rfam family "Archaeal small subunit ribosomal RNA", at positions 455 to 747 of the family's 1478-position model. The record is from RNAcentral.
GUGCCAGCCGCCGCGGUAAUACCGGCAGCACGAGUGAUGGCCGAUUUUAUUGGGCCUAAAGCGUUCGUAGCCGGCCGGACAAGUCCGUUGGGAAAUCCACGCGCUCAACGCGUGGGCGUCCAGCGGAAACUAUCCGGCUUGGGGCCGGAAGACUCGAGGGGUACGUCCGGGGUAGGAGUGAAAUCCCGUAAUCCUGGACGGACCACCGGUGGCGAAAGCGCCUCGAGAAGACGGACCCGACGGUGAGGAACGAAAGCCAGGGUCUCGAACCGGAUUAGAAACCCCAGUAGUCC